AAUUAUGAUAUAGUAUAGUUACAUAAUAAUGACACUGUACAUAUUAUUUGCGUAUAUCUUAAAGAGAUUCAGAAAAUAUAAAGAUUUGUAUUUAGAAACAUGCAUUUUUUAAGUAAAGCAUAAUAGGAGGAAGGUACUUUUGAUUAAAAUUAAACCUUAUGUGUAAAAAUAAAUCAGUAAAAAGGGGAAAUAAACACAUGAAUGAUUUAUGUUAGCGGGGGAAACUGUUGUUCAAAUAUUAGCUGAUAUUGAUAUCCGAUAUUAAUACUGCUGUUAUGGCCAAUUAUCAUUAUUUAACAACAUUAUUGUUUUCCAACACUUUCAACACUAUAAAAGCAACAAAACCAGUAGAUUACCUCUGCUUCAGUUAAACUCCCAUAAUCCUGUGCUUCAUCACUAUCAGAGUCACAUGACCGACCCAAACAACAAGAUGGAAAUAAACUCAGAUUAUUUAUAUCAGCCCAGGUUUACUAAUCAGAUCGAUACGGAUAUGUUACUAUAUGACUAACAUUGGUCGAUACUGAUAUUAUUGCCAAUAUGUGUAUCUAUUAACUGGUACUGCAUGUAAACAACAUGAGCUCAAAAUGCGACACCUACAGUUAGCCUCCCAAAGGAUUGUGUUUAAUAAUGGAUAAGAGGCUUAUUAAUUAUUAUUUAAUAACGUGUCACUCAAAGAAAAGCUGAGGAUAACAGCUACUUCCAUGAUACUAUUUGUAUUUAAUUUCCCUUUGGGAUAAAUACAGUAGUUUUGAACUAGAAAGGAGGAAUUCAGGUCUGCAGGAAUAUUUUUUUAGUUUCUUGUGUUGAGUUGCAGAACGUUUGUCUUUAGAAAACUAAAACGGUGCGAAGCAGGUAGAUCUCUGUCUGCCGGUCCUGGACCUGCGGCCCGCACUGACCAACUUCAUCUUAACACCAAAAACAGAAUUAUUUUCCACGCCGGACAUUGUUUGGGCUGAAAGAAAAUUAUUGUUUCCUCCAAAGCCACUCAAGUCUAUUUUCUUUUAUGUUUCUAAAUCACAAAUGUGCAUACUUGAAGUAAAGAACGACUUAUUUUUUGAUCUCCACGUUUUCCAUCUCAGAAGAGCUUAGAAUCUUCAGAAUCACAAAACGUCCCAGACUUGUUCAUGGUUUCGUUGUGGUCAGUCACAUUUACAAAGCAUCACCACCUUAGGAUGAACAAAGAAAACAAUAACUGAUAUAAAAGAUUAAUAUUUUCAUGCCAGGUUGUAUAUAUAAGCAUGUUGUGUUAUUGGAGUUUCAUGUUAGGUGUUUGUUAGUUAAUGGGUUAAGUAAUCCUCAGCUGGAAAGGUUUGGGGCAGCAAUGGCCAAAAGGCUCAGAAGGAGGAUUUCUUGUAGAAGGGGUUGACAGUCGGGUCGCUCUCCUUCUCACUGAAUGGGUUCUUCACUUUGCAGGUGAUGGUUUCAAAGCUCCAAGUCUCUUCAGAAAUGGUGAUCACCUUUUCCUCCUCCUCCCACUCUCCAGCUUCUCCUUUCUUCCAGAAGUACUGGACGGGCUCAGCGUCUUUAAAGUCGAUACCACAAGCCAGGAUGCAUUCAGUGGAACUGCGAUCGUAUGUCAGAGGCCUCAUGAUGACUUCAACAGGGUAGUCGUCCAGUGGUGAAGAAACUCUCAGUUACAAAAAGAACCUUCUAGAUGCUGAGAGACCGGCAUCGCCGUGGCAACGACCCCAGAGCCACAGGAGCAGAAGAAGAAGAGGCGGUCCUAAAGUAGAAGAAGAAGAAAGGCUCUGUAUUUAGUAAAAAAUAAAAAGUGACAAAACAAUAAAACAUUUAAUAUUUAAAAAUUACAAAAUCAGAUGGACCAAAUUACAGAUUUAUGUGGAAAUAUUGUAGUUUUGAAGACCAAAUUUAAAAUACUAAAAACUCAGAGAUGGGUAGUAAGUAGUCAAAAUUACUCAAUUACAUUGGAAAAAUAUACAUUUAUUAGUAUUUUUACUAAGCUGUAUUUUUUUCUACUUUUACUUGAAAUAUUUUAUUCUGAAGUAUUUCUACUCUUAUUUGAGUAAAAUUUGUGGGUUUUCCACCCACUGAAUGAAAAAUUCACCAGACACAGAAACACCUGCAGGGUUUGUUGAAGUUUCAUAAGAUUUUGUAUUGAAAGAAACUGAUAUGGAAAUUUUGUCUUUUGCCUGAUUUUGCUACUUAUAUGAAAUUAUUGUAACUUUGGUCCUGAAAAUGUCAAAAUUUUCACUUAACUUUACAUUUUAGUCCAUCUGAUGAUGUAUUUUUUAAAUAUUAAAUGAUUGAUAAUUUUAUCAGUUACUCAGUAUUUGCCUAAACUUUUUAAUAAGUACUUUUUUACUCCUGAGUAUUUUUUUACUGCUAUUUGAAGUACUGCUUCUCUUACUCGAGUAUAAUUUCCUCUAUCCGCCUGUUCUGGAAGUUUUUACUGCGUUUCUGCUCUUAAACCAUCUUUGCGCGCAGGAUUUAUGCACAGACUUUGUUUUUAAUGCACAAAUUUUCCGUAAAGAUCCCCACUUA
Molecule: long non-coding RNA, 2502 nt
Organism: Xiphophorus couchianus (Monterrey platyfish)
Lineage: Eukaryota; Metazoa; Chordata; Actinopteri; Cyprinodontiformes; Poeciliidae
Exons: 3
Source: RefSeq, a predicted model, not a curated record